This 164-nucleotide ribosomal RNA is filed under the name Acronema astrantiifolium. RNAcentral's name for it is "5.8S ribosomal RNA". It matches the Rfam family "5.8S ribosomal RNA". From Rfam's summary of the family: 5.8S ribosomal RNA (5.8S rRNA) is a component of the large subunit of the eukaryotic ribosome. It is transcribed by RNA polymerase I as part of the 45S precursor that also contains 18S and 28S rRNA. The record is from RNAcentral. Lineage: Eukaryota; Viridiplantae; Streptophyta; Magnoliopsida; Apiales; Apiaceae.
AAACACAAAUGACUCUCGGCAACGGAUAUCCCGGCUCUUGCAUCGAUGAAGAACGUAGCGAAAUGCGAUACUUGGUGUGAAUUGCAGAAUCCCGUGAACCAUUGAGUCUUUGAACGCAAGUUGCGCCCGAAGCCGUCAGGUUGAGGGCACGUCUGCCUGGGUGU